UACGGAGGAUGCGAGCGUUAUCCGGAUUUAUUGGGUUUAAAGGGUGCGUAGGCGGCCUGCCAAGUCAGCGGUAAAACUGCGGGGCUCAACCCCGUACAGCCGUUGAAACUGCCGGGCUCGAGUGGGCGAGAAGUAUGCGGAAUGCGUGGUGUAGCGGUGAAAUGCAUAGAUAUCACGCAGAACCCCGAUUGCGAAGGCAGCAUACCGGCGCCCUACUGACGCUGAGGCACGAAAGUGCGGGGAUCAAACAGG
This 252-nucleotide ribosomal RNA is filed under the name uncultured bacterium. RNAcentral describes it as "partial 16S ribosomal RNA". It matches the Rfam family "Bacterial small subunit ribosomal RNA", at positions 524 to 776 of the family's 1533-position model. The record is from RNAcentral.